This is a non-coding RNA of Triticum urartu, 2572 nucleotides long. Lineage: Eukaryota; Viridiplantae; Streptophyta; Magnoliopsida; Poales; Poaceae. The record is from RefSeq and is a predicted model, not a curated record.
ACUACCAGCCAAACACAAAAUAAACUCGUAAAAUAAAAAUAAAAAGGGAGCCCGGAGCGGCAACAAGCCAAUAUACACAACGCCUCUCGCCGACCUCCCCCACCCCCAGAUGCCGGCCACGGCGAGCGGCGGCGCGCGGGCGGAGGAGGCAGCAUCGGCGCUUUCGCUGUCUUCCUCCGCACCUUUCUGCAUGGGGACGCGGCCGGAGGAGCUCGCGGCCAGGCUGGUGGCCGGGGGCCCCGGCGGCGUCGGCGGGCCAGGAGGAGGAUGCGGAGAGGGAGGGGAGGGGGAGCACGAGCGGGUGCUCGCGCUGCGCGAGAUCAAGAACCAGAUCAUUGGGAACCGGACCAAGAAGCUCCUCUACCUCCGCCUGGGCGCCGUGCCGGCGGUCGUCGCGGCGCUGGCCGAGCCCGGCGCGUCUCCGGCCGCGCUCGUCCAGGCGGCGGCCGCGGCGGGGAGCUUCGCUUGCGGCGUGGACGAUGGCGCGCGGGCCGUGCUUGCUGCUGGCGCCGUGGGGCACCUUACGCGGCUCCUCGCCCACCCCGACGACAAGGUUGUCGAUGCAUGUGCACGUGCUCUCAGAAUGAUAUAUCAAUCAAAACAAGCUCCAAUGUUUGAUGUCAAUAAUGAGAAAAAUAUGGACUUUCUUCUUUCCCUUUUGGACAGCGAGAACGAAAAUGUUACUGAGCUGGCUGCUAAUAUUAUAUCAUACUCUUGCAAUAGCAAUACAGAACAAUUAGCACUAUGUGGUGCUGGAGUUCCACAGAAACUUGUUAGUCUUUUUGGAGGUUCUAUGAAUCUACGGGAUGCUUGCUUAGAAUCUAUGACUGCAAUCAUAAGAAAUAACUGGGAAGUUGCUUCAAGGUUUGCAUCAAUGGAUCACGGAAAAGCUUUCCGUUCAAUAGUUGCGUUAAUACACGAUCGGAGCCCGCGCACAAGGCUACUUGCUUGUCUGUGCUUGAUUGCACUUGGUCAUGCUUCUCCCUGUCAUUUUCUGGACAGACAAAUUAAAACGAAGUUGAUUCUGGUCUUACUUGAGCUCAUUGAAGAACCUGGUCAUGUGGGAGAUGAGGCUCCCUUGGCACUAACUACGCUUAUAAAGGACAGUGUGGAACUGCAGAAACAAGCCUUUUCAACAAAUGCAGUUGCGAAGCUUAGCAACCAUUUGUUAGCAAAUACAUUGCAGACAAGGCGGGCAGUGACCAUAUUGCUUGCUUUAGCUGAACUUUGCUCAAAACAAGAAGAGUCAAGAUCUCAACUUUUGUCAGGCCAGGUAUCAACAUUGAUACUUGAUGCGUUGAAGCACGAUUGUGCGGAUAUUCGUGUUGCAGCAUGUUCAUGCCUGAAGAAUAUUUCUAGGUCAUCGAAGGUGCUUAGUGCAGGCCGCUUAUCCUGUGAUACAGUUAUUGCCCCCUUAGUCCAGCUUUUGUACGACUCAUCUACUUCAGUUCAGAUUGCUGCCCUGGGUGCUAUUUGCAACAUUGCAGUGAAUUUAACACCCAGGAAAUCGGUUCUUCUUCAUUCUGGGGUCGUCUCCCAACUUGUUCAUUUAUCCAAGUCGAUGGAUCCAACAUUGAGACUAAAAUCUGUGUUGGCUCUGAGGAAUAUUAUGUUCCUUAUGAAUCCCAAGGAUAAAGACCUCAUUCUGAAGGAGCUAACUGUAUCUACUCUCUCAAGCCUCAUAUGCGAUUCUGAACAUUCUGUUCAGGAACAGACCUUAGCGCUGGUACAGAAUCUUCUUGAUGGAUAUGUGGAUUCUGUUAACUACGUCACUGGUGAAGAUGGCAUGGUUAUAAAUGCAAUCUCAAGACAACUGAACAGCGCGUCUGCCACAGGAGUUUGCAUCCAGUUUCUUCUCUUCAGGGUAUGUUGGUGCUUGCAAAUAUGGCAGCUGGGAAUGAAUUAAACAAGGAAGCUGUAAUGGAUGUUACUGUUCCUCACCGGGCAGAUCGCAUCAAACCAUCUUUUGUGGUCAACUUUCUGCAGAGCAAGGAUAAACAAUUGAGAGUUGCAACCUUGUGGUGCAUUCUGAACUUAAUUUACCCAAACAGUGAUUCUUCAUCUACUCGAGUAGCCCGACUCCAAAAUGCUGGUGUAAUCUCACAAGUAAAAAACAUGAUAAAUGACCCCUGCUUGGAUUGCAAGCUUAGAGUACGUAUGGUGCUUGAACACUGCUUAGACAAUGCCACUGCCGGUUUCAUGUGAUGGGUUGGCAAGCCAUUGAAGUUUACGGACCACCAUACACCAUACAGCAAUUGGGCAAAGGAAAGCUGGGCGUGCUUGGCACCGAGAUGCACCCCAUAAGCGCGAAGUCCUUACUGGUCUCUCCCUGUAUUGAGCCUAUCACAGUAAUUUUUUCUCACGAGAACCCGAUGGCACAUGCCACCUAGAGAACCUGAGCUGCUUGCUUGCGACCUGAAGGCCAUAGGCACCAGGUCCAGAGAAUCCCAUUUUGUAGUGCCACAAGAACCUUUGGGUUGUGUUGUGACGAAGAGUGUAUAAUCGAUCCACUGCUGUUGCUGUUGUAAAAUGCAGUUAUCUCUUACAAUGAUCGGUCUGUUUUAUUGCCUGA